Molecule: ribosomal RNA, 207 nt
Filed under: uncultured Clostridiaceae bacterium
Lineage: Bacteria; Bacillati; Bacillota; Clostridia; Eubacteriales; Clostridiaceae
Description: partial 16S ribosomal RNA
Rfam family: Bacterial small subunit ribosomal RNA
Source: RNAcentral
UGCGUAGGUGGAUACUUAAGUGGGAUGUGAAAUCCCCGGGCUCAACCCGGGAACUGCAUUCCAAACUGGGUAUCUAGAGUGCAGGAGAGGAAAGCGGAAUUCCUAGUGUAGCGGUGAAAUGCGUAGAUAUUAGGAGGAACACCAGUGGCGAAGGCGGCUUUCUGGACUGUAACUGACACUGAGGCAUGAAAGCGUGGGUAGCAAACA